AUGAUGUGCAUGCGCCGCCAUGUGCAUGUCGUCGCCUUCGCCUUGGCGGUUGCCGGCGUGCUGACGACCCUCGCGGCCGAUAAGCCGGUGGUGGUAUGCGGCACAGCUGGUAACUACACGGCCAACAGCGCAUAUCAGGGCAAUCUCCGGCUCGUCGCCGCGGGCCUACCCACCAACAUCUCCACGUCCCCUGGCCUCUUCGCCACCGCCGAAAACGGCGCCGAGCCGGACAGGGCGUACGCCGUCGGGAUAUGCCGCGGCGACCAGGACGCCUCCGCCUGCCAAGCCUGCAUCGCCCCCACCUUCAAGGACGCGCAGGACCUGUGCCCCUACAACAGGGGCGCCACCAUCUUCUACGACACCUGCCUCCUCAGCUUCUCCGACCGAGACCUGCUCCUCUCGCCCACCAAUUCCAACGACGAGGUGAUGCGGCUCUACAAUGCUGGGAACAUCACCUCUGACGUCGUCAGCCAGUUCAACGCCGCCGUCUACAAGCUCCUCGACGCCAUGGUCGAGUACGUGGAAACCAUAGACUCGGUGAGGAGGUUCGCAACCGGGACCAUCGGCUUCGACGCGACCUACCCCAUUAUCUACAGCAUGGUGUGGUGCACGCCCGACCUGACGCAUGGGCAGUGCCGUGCUUGCCUUAGCGCCACGGUUGCCCAGAUGCCCUACACCUUCAUCCCUAAUACGCAGGGCGCCACCAUCACUGGGCUGCGAUGCAGCGUGCGCUACGAGGUACACCCGUUCUACAAGGGCGUCACCAUGCUGCAGCUGACGGGCACCUCGCCUGGUGUGUUAAUUCAUUCUUGGAUUUUUCCUUUCUGUUUUGCUAAUUAA
RNAcentral lists this ribosomal RNA (840 nucleotides) under Triticum aestivum (bread wheat). Its description in RNAcentral is "partial small subunit ribosomal RNA". The record is from RNAcentral. Lineage: Eukaryota; Viridiplantae; Streptophyta; Magnoliopsida; Poales; Poaceae.